This 1320-nucleotide long non-coding RNA is filed under the name Homo sapiens (human). Its description in RNAcentral is "HSALNT0270285". The record is from RNAcentral. Lineage: Eukaryota; Metazoa; Chordata; Mammalia; Primates; Hominidae.
CCUCCCAGGCCUCUCCAGGCCAGGCCACAGCUGGGGAAGGACAGUCUGUCCCCCCGCAGGUUGGACGGUUGCUGCCUCUACCACCUGAAGGGCUGACCUUGGGAAUCCACGUCUCUAUGGAAGGGAUGUGUCCGGGAUGACGGAGGCUGACAGCUCCACCUCUGGGCAUGGUCACUGCUGCUAAAUUUAAGCCUUUCUCCUCUUAGGGCGGAAGCCAUGAGGACCAGAGCCUUAAUAUAGCCGCCAGGCGCCCUGCACUCUCCUUCCCACCAGCCCUCCCUGCGCUCUGCCCAGCCAGCCAUAAACAACCAGACGAGCCGGAGGUUGGCAGGCAAAGUGGCCCGGCCCCUUAUCAGAGCGACAGGACUAAAAGGAAAGUCACUUUACCUGCACUGCCUGGACCUGGGCAUACUGACUUCCCAUCACCUUUUGAACUAAAGCAGAUGCCCAGGCAGCCUUCAGGAGGAGGGCGCCGCACCUGGAAAUCCCCAAAGACCUUGCAGCGGCCCCUCCAGCCUGCAGAAAGUGUCCACCAAGACCCUCGGUGCUCGGUCCUGGGCACCCUGGGGGAGGGAGAAGGCCCUGGUGAAGCCCCAAAACAGUAUGGGCAGCAUAGAAAAAGAAGAGAGACGCAGAGCCCCGUCAGCUGGGGCUUCCUGACCCAGAACCAUUUAUAGAGCCCUCCCGCUUCAAGCCCUUAAUUUAUGGCUUCAUUCAGAGCAGAGCAGCAAGGCUGAAAGCACCCCAGGCCCUGAGCCUGCAGCCCUCACUCCUCAAAGCAGGCCCGGAGGCUGGCACGUCCUCACUCUCCCACCAUUCCUGGACCUGGCUGCGGCCAACCAACGGGGUGCUCCUUGACACCCGUAGGUGUGUCUUGGCCAAACACGGACACUGGAUCCCGAGAGCCGCCCUGUACAGGCAUAAACCCGACCGGGCAUCUGAGUCCUGGGGACACACCACAUCUCCACUGUGCUGGGACCGCAGCUUCCAGGGGUGGGCUCAGGGAGAGGGUCAGUCUCUCCUUUGCUGUUGCAAAAGACAGCUCAUGGCUAAGUGACCAUGAUGCCUCUAAGGUUUGUCUGAAACAUGCAACGUGCUCAUUAAGGAGGGAACAUGGGAGGAUCACUCGAGCCCAGGAGUUUGAGACCAGCCCGGGCAGCAUAAUGAGAGCCCAUCUCUACAAAAAAGUAUAAAUAAAUAAAUAAAUAAUCCAGGUGUGGUGGCGUCCGCCUGUGGUCCCAGCUGCUCAGGAGUCUGAGGUGGGAGGAUCACUGGAGCCCAGGAGUUUGAGACCAGCCCGGGCAGCAUAAUGAGAGCCCA